Molecule: long non-coding RNA, 327 nt
Filed under: Elaeis guineensis (African oil palm)
Lineage: Eukaryota; Viridiplantae; Streptophyta; Magnoliopsida; Arecales; Arecaceae
Description: long non-coding RNA (EGUI_LNC049273)
Source: RNAcentral
GUUCAGUCGGUUGGUCUUCUUGGUUCUCAGUUAUACCUACCUGAUUGUCUACUUGUCUCCCAGACCUUAAGGUGUGAAUUAUAUUUACAUGGUUGAAUCGACUUUUAGGUUGAGAUUGUUGACCAAUUUGGGCUCUUGGGUUAGGUUCAGGUUGGCUUGGCCAUUUUUUUUUUCUCUUCGCUGAUGGUGGUAGCCAAUUGACUUAAUUGCAUUUCUAGACAGGCAAUGGCUUGGAUGUUUGAAUUUACAAGUUGGCCCGUAGUUUGCAUGAAAUUAUUUGUAUUUUUUGUCAAGGCUUCAAGGCUUUUCUCUAGUGAAUUAUUCUUU